RNAcentral lists this transfer RNA (64 nucleotides) under Choreutis emplecta. RNAcentral's name for it is "tRNA-Thr". It matches the Rfam family "tRNA". Rfam says of the family: Transfer RNA (tRNA) molecules are approximately 80 nucleotides in length. Their secondary structure includes four short double-helical elements and three loops (D, anti-codon, and T loops). Further hydrogen bonds mediate the characteristic L-shaped molecular structure. tRNAs have two regions of fundamental functional importance: the anti-codon, which is responsible for specific mRNA codon recognition, and the 3' end, to which the tRNAs corresponding amino acid is attached (by aminoacyl-tRNA synthetases). tRNAs cope with the degeneracy of the genetic code in two manners: having more than one tRNA (with a specific anti-codon) for a particular amino acid; and 'wobble' base-pairing, i.e. permitting non-standard base-pairing at the 3rd anti-codon position. Lineage: Eukaryota; Metazoa; Arthropoda; Insecta; Lepidoptera; Choreutidae. The record is from RNAcentral.
GUUUUUAUAGUUUAACUAAAACAUUGGUCUUGUAAACCAAAAUUAAGAUAUUUCUUUAAAAACU